AAUUUGAAAUCUGGCGUCUUUGGCGUCCGAGUUGUAAUUUGCAGAGGGCGCUUUGGCAUUGGCAGCGGUCCAAGUUCCUUGGAACAGGACGUCACAGAGGGUGAGAAUCCCGUACGUGGUCGCUAGCCUUUACCGUGUAAAGCCCCUUCGACGAGUCGAGUUGUUUGGGAAUGCAGCUCUAAAUGGGAGGUAAAUUUCUUCUAAAGCUAAAUACUGGCCAGAGACCGAUAGCGCACAAGUAGAGUGAUCGAAAGAUGAAAAGCACUUUGGAAAGAGAGUUAAAAAGCACGUGAAAUUGUUGAAAGGGAAGCGCUUGCAGCCAGACUUGCCUGUAGUUGCUCAUCCGGGUUUUUACCCGGUGCACUCUUCUAUAGGCAGGCCAGCAUCAGUUUGGGCGGUUGGAUAAAGGUCUCUGUCACGUACCUCCUCUCGGGGAGAACUUAUAGGGGAGACGCAAUGCAACCAGCCUGGACUGAGGUCCGCGCAUCUGCUAGGAUGCUGGCGUAAUGGCUGUAAGCGGCCCGUCUUGAAACACGGACCAAGGAGUCUAACAUCUAUGCGAGUGUUUGGGUGUCAAGCCCGAGCGCGUAAUGAAAGUGAACGGAGGUGGGAACCUUUCGGGGUGCACCAUCGACCGAUCCUGAUGUCUUCGGAUGGAUUUGAGUAAGAGCAUAGCUGUUGGGACCCGAAAGAUGGUGAACUAUGCUUGAAUAGGGUGAAGCCAGAGGAAACUCUGGUGGAGGCUCGCAGCGGUUCUGA
RNAcentral lists this ribosomal RNA (759 nucleotides) under Boeremia exigua. RNAcentral's name for it is "partial large subunit ribosomal RNA". It matches the Rfam family "Eukaryotic large subunit ribosomal RNA", at positions 112 to 889 of the family's 3401-position model. The record is from RNAcentral. Lineage: Eukaryota; Fungi; Ascomycota; Dothideomycetes; Pleosporales; Didymellaceae.